UCCUGGUUGGAAUGGGUGUCCAUCUCUGCAGUCCAGGCUUCCCCCUUCUACCUGUCCAGUGUCUUCAGGGCCCCUCCUCUCCAUCCCCCAGUGCUCACCUCACAUCCCCAAGACCUUCUCAAGGCCAGAAACCUUGGCGUCAUCUUGUCCCUGAGCUAUUUUUUCCUCCUGUGUAUCCAAGUCAUUAUUACUGCUCCGUCUCCCCAGCCUGAAUUUCUGGAAGUCUGCCGCCCAUUCAGCCUCUCACUGCUCGCCUCAGCCAAAAGCCUCAGCAGACAUGCUUCCCUCACCACCCGGCACCCCUCCCACUCCUCGGAGAAUGCUGUUAAGCCAGCUUUCACAUCUGUGGAGUCUGUGGAGUCUCUGAAAAGCCUUGAAGAGCUACUUCUAAGGGGUCAACAUUGGUCAGAACAGGGGAUGGCAGUCUGCUGGACACACGGGGCCACCUAAUUGCUUUCCCAUGUCUUGCUGGAGUGGUGCUGGCAGCCAGAGAGCUACCAGAACCUGAACUAAUUUGGUAAAUAAGGACCAAAACCAAGGACCGCAUUUCUGCUUCUUCGCUGAGACCCAGACUCCCCACAGAAUUCCAAAGAUUUUUCUUCCUUGGAAGUCACUGGACCUCCAGCCCUGAAUUCCGCUCCCCAGGAGAGCCUGUUCCCCUGCUCGGAACAAAUAACAUAUUUCCUGGUUAAUUGGAAGUCAGGAAGGCUUGAAGAAGGGUGAUUGGGCCCCCAGUCUUGCAGAGAGGUCAGUCAGCUCAUGGGCUCAGUGUCCUUCUACAGACACCGGGCAACUCGGACUCCUGCAUAGUACAUCUCAAGUUUGAAAGAUGGAGGAAGUCAGGAUGACCUGGUGUCUUCUUUUUGAUGACUUCUCCGCCCAUAGCGCCCACAGAUGGAUUGUAAUGCUCCACUCAGCCCCGGAGUUCCAGAUGGGAGUCAGGAAACUUGGGACAACCCCAAAGGCAAGGUGUGAAGCAGCAGCUGGGAUGGACAAUGUAUAGAAGCCAAGAAGAAAGGCCCGGAAGCCCCUCAACCCAGAGACAAAAGGAGGCACCAGGGCACUUUACCAGGUUUCCAUGUUUACCAAGACAUUGUCUCCAGGCGGUUUGCUUGUGUUCCCUGAGGGUACUACUAAGUUUGCAGACAGACACUAGAGGGGCAUCAGAGGAUACUAACCAAGAAGCUAUGGUUUGUUAAGAAAACAAGACAAAAGGGAUAUGAGAUCUGAGCUAUUACCCUUCCUAACUUCACAGAUGUGGACACUGAUGCUUGGAGACACUAGGCCACCAGGUCAGCUCAAACCGACUAGGGGUCAGACCUGCAGCUCCCUCUCCCCGUCUCCCUCCCUCCUUCCUCCUCUCUGUCUUUUCAGUGCUAGUGAUUAAACCUCUGUAUAUGCUCCAUAAGUAUUCUACUCCUGACCUUCGUCCCUACCCAUGGUAUCUGUUGCCGUAGAGUGUUGCUCAAACUUGAGUCCUCCUGCUUGAGCCUCUUGUCUGCCACUACACCGGACUUGUGACUGCUCUGGACUCCUAAAUGAAAGAGAUGGUGAAAACCAGUGACAGGUCUUGCUCUAGACUUCAUGUCUGUGAACAGAGAGAGAUGAGUGAGCUGCUCGGGUCCCAGUGGAAGAGCCCAGGCCUGUCUGAUGGUCAGAUUUUCCCCAGGAGAUAGCAUGUGCUUUUCUUCCUGCAGUUCAUCUUAUGGGCCUCAUCUGCUAGCCAAGAGAAAAGGAAAUCAAACCCCAUGUGUUUCCUCUUGUCCUUCUUUUCAAGUUACCUCUCGGCAUGUUGCAUUUUCACAUUCUAUUAACUGAGGUCCCAAUGCCUGAGAUGACAUGAGAGGAGCCUCUAAGCCAGGGCCUGGCACACAAUCAAUAGUCAAUGUGUUACCCUGCUCAUCACCUAGAGGCCCCUUUCUUCAACCAAUCAGCAAGUCCCCCUGGCUCUCUUGGUAUAUGCAGUAUACAGUAAGACAUUAAGUGGAGCUGAUAUAAGUAGUUACUGAUUAGGAAUAGUUACUGAAUUCAUGAGCUGUCUCUUCUAAUCCCGAUAGCAAUCCCAAGAUACAGAAAUUCUUUGUUCUCUCUUCCAUUUACCAAAGAUGAAACUGGACUCAGAAAAUACGAAAUAAGAACACAGCAAGGACGUGCAACUCCUCAGUCACAGGGUUAAGGUCUGAGCCCAAACAGUCAAUCCAAAGCCUGCACACCAUCUGCCCGGCCCUGCUGUCUGUGAGAAUCGACAAGAGACACUGAGGAUCAAAUGAGGGAGGGAGAUGGCAUUGCCGGGGGUGGUGGGGAGUAUUGUUGGAGGGAGCAUAGACUACUGUACCCUGGAAGGAGGACAAAAGAAAUAAAAGAGGGGCUGGAGAGAUGGCUCAGCAGUUAAGAGCACUUCUGCUCUUACAGAGGACCCAGGCUCAACUUCCAGCACCCACAUGGUGGCUUGCAACUGUCUAUAACUCUAGUGGCAGGGGAUCUUAUGCCUUUGUCUGACCUCCUUGUGUACCAGGAAGGCAUGGGAUAAAUAGAUAUGCAUACAAGUAAAACACUCAUAUACAUAUAAAAAAUUUAAGAGCAAAGGAAAAAAGAAAAAUGUUUUAGGGUAGAAAAAUGAUACUUGUAUCUACUGCAAUCCAACCAUGGAGCAUCAGAAGAUGUCCCCUCCCUAGACCAUGAGGGCUUGUUUCUCCUUUGAGGCAUGUCCUUGGUCAACUGGUCUACCCAGGAGAGCACUCAGUAUGUCAAGGGCCUAAGGGGGUGGGAGCUUCAUCAGAAUCAAUGUCAAACUGAACAGCAAAGGAAUCCCUGGGAGGCACUGGGCAGGGCUGGCCAGGGUCCAGCUGGCUCCAUAUGAACUACAAGACUGCCCUUAAUGAGGCUGUUUUUGGUACCCUAGCAGGAAUGGACACAGAGGGACCCAGGAGACUCAAGACUGUAUUAGUCCUCAGUAAUUAUAGGCAGCAACUUUGACCUCACAGAAGCCACAGUCACUGGUGGAUGGGACAGGAUGUCAUCCAAGGCUGGACAGAUGACAGCAGUGUUAGUCUUCCCUCCUCUACAUACACACACACACACACACACACACACACACACACACACACAAUCAAAA
Molecule: non-coding RNA, 3115 nt
Organism: Cricetulus griseus (Chinese hamster)
Lineage: Eukaryota; Metazoa; Chordata; Mammalia; Rodentia; Cricetidae
Source: RefSeq, a predicted model, not a curated record